GUGGCGGACGGGUGAGUAAUAUAUCGGAACGUGCCCAGUAGCGGGGGAUAACUACUCGAAAGAGUGGCUAAUACCGCAUACGCCCUACGGGGGAAAGGGGGGGAUCGCAAGACCUCUCACUAUUGGAGCGGCCGAUAUCGGAUUAGCUAGUUUGGGGUAAAGGCUCACCAAGGCAACGAUCCGUAGCUGGUUUGAGAGGACGACCAGCCACACUGGGACUGAGACACGGCCCAGACUCAUACGGGAGGCAGCAGUGGGGAAUUUUGGACAAUGGGGGAAACCCUGAUCCAGCCAUCCCGCGUGUAUGAUGAAGGCCUUCGGGUUGUAAAGUACUUUUGGCAGAGAAGAAAAGGUACCUCCUAAUACGAGGUACUGCUGACGGUAUCUGCAGAAUAAGCACCGGCUAACUACGUGCCAGCAGCCGCGGUAAUACGUAGGGUGCAAGCGUUAAUCGGAAUUACUGGGCGUAAAGCGUGUGUAGGCGGUUCGGAAAGAAAGAUGUGAAAUCCCAGGGCUCAACCUUGGAACUGCAUUUUUAACUGCCGAGCUAGAGUAUGUCAGAGGGGGGUAGUUCCACGUGUAGCAGUGAAAUGCGUAGAUAUGUGGAGGAAUACCGAUGGCGAAGGCAGCCCCCUGGGAUAAUACUGACGCUCAGACACGAAAGCGUGGGGAGCAAACAGGAUUAGAUACCCUGGUAGUCCACGCCCUAAACGAUGUCAACUAGCUGUUGGGGCCGUUAGGCCUUAGUAGCGCAGCUAACGCGUGAAGUUGACCGCCUGGGGAGUACGGUCGCAAUAAAACUCAAAGGAAUUGACGGGGACCCGCACAAGCGGUGGAUGAUGUGGAUUAAUUCGAUGCAACGCGAAAAACCUUACCUACCCUUGACAUGUCUGGAAAGCCGAAGAGAUUUGGCCGUGCUCGCAAGAGAACCGGGAACACUGGUGCUG
This 947-nucleotide ribosomal RNA is filed under the name Alcaligenes faecalis. RNAcentral describes it as "bacterial SSU rRNA". It matches the Rfam family "Bacterial small subunit ribosomal RNA", at positions 95 to 1043 of the family's 1533-position model. Lineage: Bacteria; Pseudomonadati; Pseudomonadota; Betaproteobacteria; Burkholderiales; Alcaligenaceae. The record is from RNAcentral.